AUCAAUAACGUUAACGAAAUUACAUUUCCGUGUUCGCUGAACUCCUAUUCUGGUAUGUCCUAGCCAUACAGACCGUGCACGUGUAGCCCCGUUUAUCUGAGCUUGGGUAAACGGGUCCAAUCCCAACCCCUUGGGAGGAUGGGGUUGCAUGGCCAAGGCAGAAGGG
RNAcentral lists this ribozyme (166 nucleotides) under Anopheles sinensis. RNAcentral's name for it is "drz-agam-2-2 ribozyme". It matches the Rfam family "drz-agam-2-2 ribozyme". Lineage: Eukaryota; Metazoa; Arthropoda; Insecta; Diptera; Culicidae. The record is from Rfam by way of RNAcentral.